This 279-nucleotide ribosomal RNA is filed under the name uncultured bacterium. RNAcentral's name for it is "partial 16S ribosomal RNA". It matches the Rfam family "Bacterial small subunit ribosomal RNA", at positions 506 to 784 of the family's 1533-position model. The record is from RNAcentral.
UGCCAGCCGCCGCGGUAAUACGGAGGGUGCAAGCGUUGUUCGGAAUUAUUGGGCGUAAAGCGCGUGUAGGCGGCAUGUUAAGUCGACUGUGAAAGCCCAUAGCUCAACCCCGGAAGUGCAUUGGAAACUGGCGAACUUGAGUACGGGAGAGGAAAGUGGAAUUCCGAGUGUAGGGGUGAAAUCCGUAGAUAUUCGGAGGAACACCAGUGGCGAAGGCGGCUUUCUGGACCGAUACUGACGCUGAGACGCGAAAGCGUGGGGAGCAAACAGGAUUAGAUA